Molecule: ribosomal RNA, 30 nt
Filed under: Chloropicon mariensis
Lineage: Eukaryota; Viridiplantae; Chlorophyta; Chloropicophyceae; Chloropicales; Chloropicaceae
Description: partial Eukaryotic small subunit ribosomal RNA
Source: RNAcentral
AAGGAAUUGACGGAAGGGCACCACCAGGCG